UCAUGGAUCAAUUGAGAAUUUUGAAAGAGAACUUGAACAAGAUCGAGUUCGAUGUACACGAAGAAGACGACGACGAAAAAGAAGAAGAAGAAGAUCUCCGAAGAUACCAUUCCCCCAAUGGCGUCGGUGAUAUUUCGGACCCUGAUUCGAAGAACUUUUAGUGGUUUUAGGUCCAAUUCGAGGUAUCCGAUCUCUAAUGGAAUCGAAUCACCUGCUCAUCAUUAGAUUGAGAGGUAUAAAGCAGAGAUUUAAGAAGCUUCAGGAAUCAGAAGCAGAUAAGGAGUGAAUGUUGCAUGGAGGAACUCGAGUCUCUGAGGUUAGAAAAGAACAAAACCUCAAUGGAAAAUAGCAAAGUGCGUUGUGAAUUGGAUUCAAAAUUACUUGAAAUCAAACACUAGCAUAUGAAGUAGGUGCAUUCCUGAAGUUGAAAACUGAACUUGAUCUACUUAUUCCCGGACCGGACGCCACAGAGGCUCUGACUAGGCAUCCUAGUGUGGACAAGGAGAAGCCUGAAAUCUUACUUGGAAAAAGGUGAAAUGGAGCAAUCCUUGCAAAGGUUUGGAAACAGAUUUGAAGGAAACACGACAAGAAAGGGAUAUAAGGCACGGCAAGAACUGAAAAAGCUCAAACAGCAAUUGCUAGAAAAGGACACUGAGGAGUCUGAGAAAAUGGAUGAAGAUAGCCGACUGAUUGAACAACUCCGCCAAACUAAUGAGUAUCAAAGGUCUCAGAUAUCACAGUUGGAUAAAACUCUCAAGCAGGCCAUGGCAAAUCAAGAGGAUAACAGGUUGAGCAACGACAACCAAAUCCGAAAGUUAAAGGAAACAUUUGGGGACUUAAAUCACAAACUUACAAAUUGUUUGAGAACAAUCGAGUCCAAGAAUGUGGAACUUUUAAAUCUUCAAACUGCCCUUGGCCAGUACCACGCUGAAAUCGAAGCUAAGGUUUGGUA
Molecule: long non-coding RNA, 952 nt
Organism: Camelina sativa (false flax)
Lineage: Eukaryota; Viridiplantae; Streptophyta; Magnoliopsida; Brassicales; Brassicaceae
Source: RefSeq, a predicted model, not a curated record